CGCGUAGGUGGUUGCGUCAGUCGGAUGUGAAAUCCCCAGGCUUAACCUGGGAACUGCAUCUGAUACUGCGUGACUCGAGUGCAGCAGAGGGAAACGGAAUUCCUGUGUAGAGGUGAAAUUCGUAGAUAUCAGGAGGAACACCGGUGGCGAAGGCGGUUUCCUGGGCUGACACUGACACUGAGGCGCGAAAGCGUGGGUAGCAAACAGGAUUAGAUACCCUGGUAGUCCACGCUGUAAACGGUGAGUACUGGGUGUGGGAGGUGUAAUGCCUUCUGUGCCGAAGCUAACGCGUUAAGUACUCCGCCUGGGGAGUACGGCCGCAAGGUUGAA
RNAcentral lists this ribosomal RNA (330 nucleotides) under uncultured bacterium. RNAcentral's name for it is "bacterial SSU rRNA". It matches the Rfam family "Bacterial small subunit ribosomal RNA", at positions 568 to 898 of the family's 1533-position model. The record is from RNAcentral.